CAGCCCCUCAUCACAACAUCGCCAUCUCCCACAUGCGCUCAACUUUCCCUCCGUCUCAUCCAAAUCCUCACUUUCUUUAAUCUUUAUAUCUCCAAAGAACACAUCUUUCACUUCCAUUUCUAUAUUCUCCAAUUCCCUCAACAACUACUCACAUUAUUGCCGAUUCUUGUGGCCAUUCAUGGACAUGGCUUGGGUGGCUCUGCAAAUCAACUGUUUGUUUAGGGAUUGUGAAAUGGGACUAUUUGGGAGCAGCUAUAAAGAGACCCUAAUGUUAUGGGGCUUUGGGAAA
Molecule: long non-coding RNA, 289 nt
Organism: Cucurbita moschata (crookneck pumpkin)
Lineage: Eukaryota; Viridiplantae; Streptophyta; Magnoliopsida; Cucurbitales; Cucurbitaceae
Exons: 2
Source: RefSeq, a predicted model, not a curated record